GGCCUCCCCUCCCGGCGCCGGCCCCCACCACGGGGACGGGGCGCCCGCCGGAGGAAACCAAACUCUAUUUACACGACGUCUCUUCUGAGUGGCACAAGCAAAUAAUUAAAACUUUUAACAACGGAUCUCUUGGUUCUGGCAUCGAUGAAGAACGCAGCGAAAUGCGAUAAGUAAUGUGAAUUGCAGAAUUCAGUGAAUCAUCGAAUCUUUGAACGCACAUUGCGCUCGCCAGCAUUCUGGCGAGCAUGCCUGUUCGAGCGUCAUUUCAACCCUCAAGCACCGCUUGGUUUUGGGGCCCCACGGCCGACGUGGGCCCUUAAAGGUAGUGGCGGACCCUCCCGGAGCCUCCUUUGCGUAGUAACUAACGUCUCGCACUGGGAUCCGGAGGGACUCUUGCCGUUAAACCCCCAAAUUCUUUACAGGUUGACCUCGGAUCAGGUAGGAAUACCCGCUGAACUUAAGCAUAUCAA
Molecule: unclassified non-coding RNA, 470 nt
Filed under: Colletotrichum acutatum
Lineage: Eukaryota; Fungi; Ascomycota; Sordariomycetes; Glomerellales; Glomerellaceae
Description: partial contains ITS1, 5.8S rRNA and ITS2
Rfam family: 5.8S ribosomal RNA (bases 110-263)
Source: RNAcentral